RNAcentral lists this ribosomal RNA (255 nucleotides) under uncultured bacterium. RNAcentral's name for it is "partial 16S ribosomal RNA". It matches the Rfam family "Bacterial small subunit ribosomal RNA", at positions 1235 to 1500 of the family's 1533-position model. The record is from RNAcentral.
CGGCACAGAGGGAAGCCAGGUGGCGACACCGCGCGGAACCGAAGCCGUUCUCAGUUCGGAUCGGAGUCUGCAACCCGACUCCGUGAAGCUGGAUUCGCUAGUAAUCGCGCAUCAGCCAUGGCGCGGUGAAUACGUUCCCGGGCCUUGUACACACCGCCCGUCAAGCCAUGGGAGCCGGGGGUGCUUGAAGUGCGUCGCCGCAAGGCGCGCCCUAGAGCAAAACCGGUGACUGGGGCUAAGUCGUAACAAGGUAAC